GAAAGAACGUAGCGAAAUGCGAUACUUGGUGUGAAUUGCAGAAUCCCGUGAACCAUCGAGUCUUUGAACGCAAGUUGCGCCCGAAGCCACUAGGCCGAGGGCACGCCUGCCUGGGCGUCACACGUCGUUGCCCCCCCCCCAUCUACUCCUUCGGGAUUGCGGGGGGCGGAUGAUGGCCUCCCGUGCGCCUAGCCGCGCGGUUGGCAUAAAUACCAAGUCCUCGGCGACGCACGCCACGACAAUCGGUGGUUGCGAAACCUCGGUUGCCCGUCGUGUGCGUUCGUCGCGCAUCGAGGGCUCGAAAAAAUGCUCGGCUCCGGCUCGGCUUUCAACGCGACCCCAGGUCAGGCGGGGUUACCCGCUGAAUUUAAGCAUAUCAAUAAGCGGAGGA
This 391-nucleotide unclassified non-coding RNA is filed under the name soil metagenome. RNAcentral's name for it is "partial contains 5.8S ribosomal RNA, internal transcribed spacer 2, and large subunit ribosomal RNA". The stretch from base 3 to 120 matches the Rfam family "5.8S ribosomal RNA", at positions 39 to 154 of the family's 154-position model. The record is from RNAcentral.